UAAAGCAAGAAAGGGCGUAUGGGGAAUGCCUAGGCACACUCCGGCGAAGAAGGACGCAGCAAACAGCGAAAUGCGACGGGAAGCGGUAAGCACGCAAAGAUCCGUCGAUAUCCGAAUGGGGGAACCCGCAUGGAGUCAAAUCCAUGGAUCACAUGUUGAAUACAUAGACAUGAUGAGGCGAGACGCAGGGAACUGAAACAUCUAAGUACCUGCAGGAAGAGAAAAUAAGAAUGAUUUUCUGAGUAGCGGCGAGCGAAAGGGAAAGAGCCCAAACCGAUCUGAGGAUCGGGGUAGUAGGAUCAUCAAUAAAUCUGACAGAGGAUCAUAGAGGAAUCACAUGGGAAGGUGAGCGAGAGAGGGUGAGAGCCCCGUACUCGAAAUGAGAGACUGGAGAGAGAUGACACCUGAGUAGGGCGGGACACGAGAAAUCCUGUCUGAAUCAGCCGGGACCAUCCGGCAAGGCUAAAUACGAGAGAGUGACCGAUAGUGAACCAGUACCGUGAGGGAAAGGUGAAAAGAACCCCGGGAGGGGAGUGAAAGAGAACCUGAAACCAUAUGCCUACAAGAAGUCAGAGCCCGUUAAAGGGUGAUGGCGUGCCUUUUGUAGAAUGAACCGGCGAGUUACUGUAUGGAGCGAGGUUAAGCAGGAUAUGCGGAGCCGAAGCGAAAGCGAGUCUUAAGAGGGCGAAAGUUGCAUGCAGUAGACCCGAAACCGGGUGAUCUAGCCAUGACCAGGUUGAAGUUGGGGUAAAACCCGAUGGAGGACCGAACCGACCCCCGUUGAAACGUUGGCGGAUGAGUUGUGGCUAGGGGUGAAAUUCCAAUCGAACCCGGAGAUAGCUGGUUCUCCCCGAAAUAGCUUUAGGGCUAGCGUCGAGAGAAGAGUUGCGUGAAGGUAGAGCACUGAAUAUGUGAUGGCCCCAUCUCGGGGUACUGAGCAUAAUCAAACUGCGAAUGUCACGCCAACAUGCUCGGCAGUCAGACAGCGGGUGAUAAGGUCCGUUGUCAAGAGGGAAACAGCCCAGACCAUCAGCUAAGGUCCCAAAAUGUAUGCUAAGUGGAAAAGGAUGUGGAGAUGUACAGACAACUAGGAGGUUGGCUCAGAAGCAGCCAUCCUUUAAAGAGUGCGUAACAGCUCACUAGUCGAAUGACUCUGCGCCGAUAAUUUACCGGGGCUAAGCAUACUACCGAAGCUAUGGAUCCCAAGGGAUGGUAGGGGAGCGUUCCAUGAACGGAGAAGUACGACCGAAAGGACGUGUGGAGAUCAUGGAAGAGAGAAUGCCGGUGUGAGUAGCGGAACGUGGGUGAGAAUCCCACGCACCGAAAACCCAAGGUUUCCAGAGGAAGGUUCGUCCGCUCUGGGUAAGUCGGGACCUAAGGCGAGGCCGAGAGGCGUAGUCGAUGGACAACAGGUAGAGAUUCCUGUACUCAUAUAUAUGUGAAGGAAUGACGGAGAGAGGAAGCUGCAGCCAGCGGCUGGAAGAGCUGGUGCAAGCGAGAUAUCGGGAUGGCAGGCAAAUCCACCAUCCGAAACGAGAAGGCGUGAAGCGUACGGAAAGCUACGGCGAGUACGGAAGGCAGUGGAGGAACUUCCAAGAAAAGUUUCUAACGUUAAGUAUAUAUGGCCCGUACCGAAAAUGGACACACAUGGGUGAGGAGAGAAUCCUAAGGUGAGCGAGAGAACUAUAGCUAAGGAACUCUGCAAAAUGACUCCGUAACUUAGGGAGAAGGAGUGCUCAUAGAGAUAUGAGCCGCAGUGAAACGGCCCAAGCGACUGUUUACCAAAAACACAGCUCUCUGCUAAGCCGCAAGGCGAAGUAUAGGGGGUGACGCCUGCCCGGUGCUGGAAGGUUAAGGGGAGGGGUUAACGCAAGUGAAGCCCUGAACUGAAGCCCCAGUAAACGGCGGCCGUAACUAUAACGGUCCUAAGGUAGCGAAAUUCCUUGUCAGGUAAGUUCUGACCCGC
RNAcentral lists this ribosomal RNA (1966 nucleotides) under human gut metagenome. RNAcentral's name for it is "bacterial LSU rRNA". It matches the Rfam family "Bacterial large subunit ribosomal RNA", at positions 1 to 1991 of the family's 2925-position model. The record is from RNAcentral.